AAACAAGAAGCUAUUAAAGCAACUAAUUUCGACCUAGUUAUUUGGCAAGUCAAUGCCCUUGUUUA
This 65-nucleotide transfer RNA is filed under the name Anaplecta sp. 3 ZQW-2020. Its description in RNAcentral is "tRNA-Arg". The record is from RNAcentral. Lineage: Eukaryota; Metazoa; Arthropoda; Insecta; Blattodea; Anaplectidae.